Alligator mississippiensis (American alligator) is the source of this 658-nucleotide long non-coding RNA. RefSeq lists it as uncharacterized. The record is from RefSeq and is a predicted model, not a curated record. Lineage: Eukaryota; Metazoa; Chordata; Crocodylia; Alligatoridae. The transcript is spliced from 3 exons.
GCAGGCGAAACUUGGGGGCAUCUUAACACCAAGUCUCUGGACUCGGGCCUGCACGUAGGAUGCCCGCCAAAAGACUUUGGCAAUAUCUGAAGCCCCUGGCGGGGGUGGAGGAUGUUUGCCAGUUGUAGGGCCACUUAUGGUUUGGACCGACUCAUGAAUUUAGACUCGAUUCGGCUGGUUUGGCUUGGGACAUGAAACAUUUCUUUUAAUAAAACCUGAACUAAACAAAACAAAAACUGUUUUCAGAGGCGUUGGGUGUCGGCUGCAACUGAGGCCGGGGAUGGUGACAGGGCUGUGCUAAUGCUCCUGCUGGGACGACAGGCUCCUGGCUAGAGGGUCUUGUCCCUCUGCUCAGGGUCCCCGUGGGGAUGGUGGGACCUGCCGGGCGGGCACCAGUUCUCCGGCCCUGCGGGGUCCAGGGAGCUACCCUCUAGCCCGCUGCUCUCUGUGUGUGCAGAGCAUUCGUUGGAGGCAAAGGAAGAUACUGGGAAGAGCCAAGCUGGGAGCAGCUUGGGGACACGUGGAGGAGACACCACCAUGCCAGUGCACACAGCCCAGACCUGCACGUCCUGCACCAUCCUGGAUCUCUGAGGAGCCUGAGGAAAUGGAGGACCCUGACACUGCCUUCAUGCAACCUCCCAGCCAUGCUGCCGUGGGG